CAAUAAUUUGGCAAGCCACUCUAUUUUUGUCGGUAUACUACCACUUUUCCAAUUUUUUGCAAUCCCUCCCGAAGCUGCGCGCUCGGUGGAAGAGGACGACCAUCCCAGAUAGAAGGAGUGUACCGUUCUUCGGUCAAGGGUAUACGAUAGCUGCGCUCCCCUGCUAGAACCUCCAAACAAGCCAGAAAAGACCCUAACUACCCCUUUAAAAUAUACAUUUCAUUUUCAAUUUGUUAUUUUAU
This is a non-coding RNA of Podarcis lilfordi (Lilford's wall lizard), 242 nucleotides long. NCBI's taxonomy places the organism in Eukaryota, Metazoa, Chordata, Lepidosauria, Squamata, Lacertidae. The record is from the annotation of a GenBank genome assembly.